GCCAUGCACGUGUAAGUACAGACCACUUUUAGUGGUGACACCGCGAACGGCUCAUUAGAUCGAUCAUUGUUCCUUGGAUGGUACGAGCGCCUGGUCCUCUGUCAAAGGGGGACCGGGAGUGCUAUGUGGAUAACUGUGGCAAUUCUAGAGCUAAUACAUGCGUGACGAGUCCGGUUGCGUUCUCUCGGGGACGGAAUCGGGCGCUUUUAUUAGACUGCGAUUGAGGGUCCGCGAGGGCCCGGUCGUUGGUGACUCUGGAUAACUAUUUAGCCGAGAACCCGCAAAGCUCCUCCUCUGGGGGAGCGGGUUCCGCAUCUUUCAAGUGUUCGGCCUAUCAAGUUUCGACGGUAGUCGAUUUGACUACGGUGCUUCUGACGGGUACCGGGGAAUCUGGGUUCGAUUCCGGAGAGGGAGCCUGAGAAACGGCUACCACGUCCAAGGAAGGCAGCAGGCGCGCAAAUUACCCACUCCCGGCACGGGGAGGUAGUGACGAAAAAUACCGAUGCGGGGCCCCCCGCGGGGCUCUCGUAAUCUGGACUGAGUACACUCUAAAGCCUUGCUUAGCGAGGAUCUACUGGAGGGCAAGUCUGGUGCCAGCAGCCGCGGUAAUUCCAGCUCCAGCAGCGUAUACUAAAGUUGUUGCAGUUAAAAAGCUCGUAGUCGGAUGUGGGUUGGCUUCGGCCAGUGUGUGGGCUUCGUCGGUGCGUUUGCUUUCUGCGGACGGCUACUGACGGGUCCGGCCUUGCGGUGGGCUCGCAGGUCUCUGAUCUGCGGGUCCCCGCUGUUACUUUGAAAAAAUGAGAGUGUUCAAGACGGGCUACUGAGGCUCGAAUUAGAAAGCAUGGAAUAAUGGAAGAUGAUCCCGCCUCUCCGCCCCGAAGGGGGGUCAAACCUCGUGAAGGGUGCGAGUCUGGUGGGAUAAUGAUGAAGAGAGACGGUCGGGGGCAUUCGUAUUGCGGCGCGAGAGGUGAAAUUCUUGGACCGUCGCAAGACGGACUGGUGCGAAAGCGUUUGCCAAGGACGUUUUCAUUGAUCGAGAGCGAAAGUCUGAGGUUCGAAGACGAUCAGAUACCGUCGUAGUUCAGACCGUAAACGAUGUCGACCGGGGCUCGGCGGGCCCGUCGUUGUCCCGAUUGCAGGGACUGGUGACACCGCCGGUACCCUCCCCCUCGGUUCGGGAAACCUUUGAGUGUUUGGAUUCCGGGGGGAGUAUGGUUGCAAAGCUGAAACUUAAAGGAAUUGACGGAAGGGCACCACCAGGAGUGGAGCCUGCGGCUUAAUUUGACUCAACACGGGAAAGCUUACCCGGCCCGGACACCGUGAGGAUUGACAGAUUGAGAGCUCUUUCUCGAUUCGGUGGAUGGUGGUGCAUGGCCGUUCUUAGUUGGUGGAGUGAUUUGUCUGGUUGAUUCCGAUAACGAACGAGACUCUAGCCUGCUAACUAGUCUCACAGAUGGACAGCCCCUUGCGGGUUGUUACUAUCGUCUGCGAGUGCAUAUUGCCCACAAUGCAUGUUGUGGGUAAACUUCUUAGAGGGACAAGCGGUAGUUUGAAGCCGCACGAGAUUGAGCGAUAACAGGUCUGUGAUGCCCUUAGAUGUCCGGGGCCGCACGCGCGCUACACUGUAGAUCGCAGCGAGUCUCCCAGUGUCCCUCCCGUAGCCGGGUGGGUAAACCUAUGAAAGAUCAGACGUGGAUUGGGACCGGGCCUUGAAACUGUUGCCCGCGAACGAGGAAUUCCCAGUAAGCGCGAGUCAUAAGCUGGCGUUGAUUACGUCCCUGCCCUUUGUACACACCGCCCGUCGCUACUACCGAUUGGACGGUUUAGCGAGGCCCUCGGAUCGGAGCACGCCUUAAUAGGCGGGCACCCGAGAAGGCGGUCGAACUUGACCGUCUAGAGGAAGUAAAAGUCGUAACAAGGUUUCCGUAGGUGAAC
Molecule: ribosomal RNA, 1935 nt
Filed under: Rubifabriciola markginsbergi
Lineage: Eukaryota; Metazoa; Annelida; Polychaeta; Sabellida; Fabriciidae
Description: SSU rRNA
Rfam family: Eukaryotic small subunit ribosomal RNA
Source: RNAcentral